Molecule: ribosomal RNA, 237 nt
Filed under: uncultured bacterium
Lineage: Bacteria
Description: partial 16S ribosomal RNA
Rfam family: Bacterial small subunit ribosomal RNA
Source: RNAcentral
UGAGGAACAUGACCUUCGGCGGGGGAUAGCCGGCCCAACGGCCGGGUAAUACCGCGUACGACCUUUUGGGGACAUCCCCGACUGGUGAAAGCAGCAAUGCGCCGAUGGAGUGCCUCGCGGCCUAUCAGCUAGUUGGUGAGGUAACGGCUCACCAAGGCGACGACGGGUAGCUGGUCUGAGAGGAUGGCCAGCCACAUUGGGACUGAGACACGGCCCAGACUCCUACGGGAGGNAGCG